UACGUAGGGGGCUAGCGUUGUCCGGAAUCAUUGGGCGUAAAGCGCGCGUAGGCGGCCCGGUAAGUCCGCUGUAAAAGUCAAAGGCUCAACCUUUGAAUGUCAGUGGAUACUGCCAGGCUAGAGUCCGGAAGAGGCGAGUGGAACUCCUGGUGUAGCGGUGGAAUGCGCAGAUAUCAGGAAGAACACCGACGGCGAAGGCAGCUCGCUGGGACGGUACUGACGCUGAGGCACGAAAGCGUGGGGAGCAAACAGG
RNAcentral lists this ribosomal RNA (253 nucleotides) under uncultured bacterium. Its description in RNAcentral is "partial 16S ribosomal RNA". It matches the Rfam family "Bacterial small subunit ribosomal RNA", at positions 524 to 776 of the family's 1533-position model. The record is from RNAcentral.